UACAGAGGUCUCGAGCGUUAGGCGGAAUCACUGGGCUUAAAGCGUGUGUAGGCGGAUCGUUAAGUACCUUGUGAAAUCCCACGGCUUAACCGUGGAACUGCUUGGUAUACUGGCGGUCUUGAGCCAGCUAGGGGCGACCGGAACAAAUGGUGGAGCGGUGAAAUGCGUAGAUAUCAUUUGGAACGCCGAAGGUGAAAACAGUCUGCUGGGGGCGUGCCGACGCUGAGACACGAAAGCCAGGGGAGCGAACGGG
RNAcentral lists this ribosomal RNA (253 nucleotides) under uncultured bacterium. RNAcentral describes it as "partial 16S ribosomal RNA". It matches the Rfam family "Bacterial small subunit ribosomal RNA", at positions 524 to 776 of the family's 1533-position model. The record is from RNAcentral.